UGAAUACGAGACGCUAAGGCGUCGAAGUAGUGUAUGUCAUACUUCCAAGAAAAGCUUGCACUGUCAUAAGUAAAAAAUGCCUGUACCAUAACCGACACAGGUGGGUAGGUAGAGUAUACUAAGGGGCGCGAGAUAACUCUCUCUAAGGAACUCGGCAAAAUAACUCCGUAACUUCGGGAGAAGGAGUACCUUAUUCUAUAAGGUUGCAAUAACAAGAUCCAAGCAACUGUUUAUCAAAAACACAGGUCUCCGCUAAGUCGUAAGACGAUGUAUGGGGGCUGACGCCUGCCCAGUGCCAGAAGGUUAAAGAAGUCGGUUAGCAUUAGCGAAGCUGGUAACUGAAGCCCUGGUGAACGGCGGCCGUAACUAUAACGGUCCUAAGGUAGCGAAAUUCCUUGUCGGGUAAGUUCCGACCCGCACGAAAGGCGUAAUGAUUUGGAUACUGUCUCGGAGAGGGGCUCGGUGAAAUAGACUUGUCUGUGAAGAUGCGGACUACCUGCACCAGGACAGAAAGACCCUAUGAAGCUUUACUGUAACUUGAAAUUGAAAUUGGACUUUAUUCGCGCAGUAUAGGUGGGAGGUGUUGAUUAUAAUCUUGCGGGAUUAUUGGAGCCAUCAGUGAGAUACCACUCUUGUAAUGUUAGAUUUCUAACUUUGAAUCAUUAUCUGGUCAAAGGACAGUUUCAGGCGGGCAGUUUGACUGGGGCGGUCGCCUCCCAAACGGUAACGGAGGCGUACAAAGGUUUCCUCUGAACGGGUAGAAAUCGUAUCUAGAGUGUAAAGGCAUAAGGAAGCUUGACUGUGAGACCUACAAGUCGAACAGGGACGAAAGUCGGUCUUAGUGAUCUGACGGUACUGAGUGGAAAGGCCGUCACUCAACGGAUAAAAGUUACUCUAAGGAUAACAGGCUGAUCUCCCCCAAGAGUUCACAUCGACGGGGAGGUUUGGCACCUCGAUGUCGGCUCAUCGCAUCCUGGGGCGGUAGUACGUCCCAAGGGUUGGGCUGUUCGCCCAUGAAAGCGGUACGCGAGCUGGGUUCAGAACGUCGUGAGACAGUUCGGUCCAUAUCCGGUGUAGGCGUUAGAAUAUUGAGAGGAGCCUUCUUUAGUACGAGAGGACCGAGAAGGACAUACCUCUGGUGUACCAGUUAUCGUGCCAACGGUAAACGCUGGGUAGCUAUGUAUGGAGUGGAUAACCGCUGAAAGCAUCUAAGUGGGAAGCCCACCUCAAGAUAAG
RNAcentral lists this ribosomal RNA (1236 nucleotides) under metagenome. Its description in RNAcentral is "bacterial LSU rRNA". It matches the Rfam family "Bacterial large subunit ribosomal RNA", at positions 1564 to 2808 of the family's 2925-position model. The record is from RNAcentral.